Molecule: small nuclear RNA, 178 nt
Organism: Sinocyclocheilus anshuiensis
Lineage: Eukaryota; Metazoa; Chordata; Actinopteri; Cypriniformes; Cyprinidae
Gene: U2
Rfam family: U2 spliceosomal RNA
About the family: U2 is a small nuclear RNA (snRNA) component of the spliceosome (involved in pre-mRNA splicing).
Source: Ensembl
AAAACUGUUCAAAACAAAACAAAAAUCUGUUCUUAUCAGUUUAAUAUCUGAUACGUCCCCUAUCUGGGGACUGCAUAUUAAAUGGAUUUUUGGAUCAUGGAGCUGGAUCUGGGGCUUGCUCCGUCCACUCCACACAUCGGUCUGGUAUUGCAGUAUCUCCAGAAACGGUGUGCUUCCC